This is a long non-coding RNA of Gracilinanus agilis (Agile Gracile Mouse Opossum), 281 nucleotides long. RefSeq lists it as uncharacterized. Lineage: Eukaryota; Metazoa; Chordata; Mammalia; Didelphimorphia; Didelphidae. The record is from RefSeq and is a predicted model, not a curated record. The transcript is spliced from 3 exons.
GGCUAGCUCAUGUAGACUGAUGAAAUCAGCCUCCAAGGUUUCUGAGAGAAGUGGGAGUAUCAGGGAGGAGAUAUUCAUCAGGAAUUAUGUUGUUGCAGAGUCUGGAAAAAUGUAACCUGAAAUUCAGAAGAAAAUUGUAUAUGCAGGUGAAGUGGAUUUAAAAUGAAUAAAACUGGAUAAUACAACUUCAUGAGGAAAAUUACUUGUUCAGAUUUUGAUCAAGAGUUCUGGAAUUUGGAAGUCAGUAUGACAUCUCAGCUUGUACUCACUGCAUCUAUGAC